Passer domesticus (house sparrow) is the source of this 5375-nucleotide long non-coding RNA. RefSeq lists it as uncharacterized. The transcript has 5 exons. Lineage: Eukaryota; Metazoa; Chordata; Aves; Passeriformes; Passeridae. The record is from RefSeq and is a predicted model, not a curated record.
CCGGGCCUGCCCAGCCCUCGUCUCCAGCCGUCCGUCCCAGCAGAGAGGGGCUGCCUCCCCUCCAUCCCUCAGCAAGGCCGUGGGAGAGAAGUCCUCGAAUGGCUGCUCUGGCUAAGCGGCCACUGGUUCAGCUCCAGCUCAAAACGUUAAGCCAUCCAAGAGGGAAGCUUUCCUUGGGGAUGCAAGACAGAGGCAACACUAAAGGUGCGUCUUAUAGGAGAGGUCAUUGUGUACACAAAUACAUCCUGUACAUCUUUGGAUCGUUGCACUGAUAGAUGAGCACCAGCCUCGUCCAAAUGCCAGAGGAGGUCUGAGAUGUAAACACAGAGGAAGAUUUUCAAGGAAGAGAUAACUGAGAAUGUAAUUACCUGUCCAAGCCGACUAUUUCCCUACAGAACUGACUGUGUAACUUAGAGGAGCGGUUUGAACAGUAGAGCUGGUUUUCACUGGCAGCUUGGCCUCUAAGCAGAAUGUUGUGAGCAGCAUGACAUUCCAUGCCAACUGCAAACUUGCUGAGAGGCUGGGGAAAGACCCAACACGGAACCCCCAGCAGCCAUGGCUGUGCUGUUGGGAGCUGCUAGCUGGCAGCUGGCUCCAGUCUGUCUCCACGGCCCUGGCAGCAAGGUGACCGUGCAGUGAGAAGUGCUACUGCUCACUGUGCAGCAGCAUGUUGAUGGUGUCAUGUCAUCUGUUCCCUGAAGGAGCCUGGGUUUGCAGUGCAGAAGGAUGGGAUAAGUAAGGAAUUAAUUCUUUCCACUUUUGCAGUCUUUUGACUUAUGUUCUGAAUUGCAUCAAACACCUAUCUUUUGCCAAACCACCCAGUAUUUAAAACAAAAUCCAAAAAAAGCUAGGAAAACUAAAGUUCAGAGUCAACCAAGGUUAGCUCCCCACCCUUGUAAAAACUAGGAUUUGUAAAGCAUUCUUAGUGCUUGGCUAAAGGGAAAAUGCCAUAUUCAAGAAGUGAUCAAAGUUGUAUCAGAUAGAGGAUAAUUAGCAGAACAUGGGAAGUUGCACUGACAUUAAUGUUCUUGGUGACAGCAGGCUGCACUGACAAACGUACGUUUGACAAAGUGAUGUAAAAUGGUAGCAGAUCACCUUAAUCAGAGGGAUAGAAGAAGGAGCUGCAUAAGGGCAUCCUUAGAGAUUCUUCACACGUGCAAGAGCUGAUUGCCAGUGCCAUUGCUGUGUCAGUAUCUUUAAUGUUUUAUCUUUGAUGUUGGCUCAGCAUACUCUAGGACCUGCAGUUUCUGCAUAGAAGGAGCUCUUUAGGCUGCCUUGAGUUGCCAAGCUGUCUCCAGGUCAUGCAGAGGAAAGAACAUCCAUAGAAACAGAAGUGGAAAUCAGUGGAAGAUGUAUAAAGUGAUGCCAACUUAUGAAAAAUCUGUAAAAAACAUGGUGAAACUGAACACACUGUGCAUUGCAUUUGGUAAAAAAACUACACAGAAAAUUGUCUGUAUAUAAGCUGGGAAAUAUAAAGAAUUAUAAAAUGUAUGUAAGGACUGAGCUCUCUGCUCCAGAGAGAGCAUGGGCAGAUUUUUCCCAGCCACAAAGCACUGCAGAGACUGCAGCAAAGUGCAGCAAGUGGAGCAUCAGACAUGGAAGACUUCAUGGACAUCAUGGACACUAGAGCUGACAAUGAUAUAAACAGGAAGCUGCUCAGGAACAGCUUAUCCUGGAACAGUUCACCAAAUAUGCUAUUCCUUUUAACAGAUACUGCAUGGGCAGUUUCUCAGUUGUAGUGCAUACUUAUUAGAGGGGGAAAUAUCUGGAUAAUUGGUAAGUUCUUCAAGAGAUGGCAACUAAGUUCAAAAAAUUAAAGACUGAACAAAAACAUAGAUUCCAGUGAGCUUCUGGUGACUGCAGAUUUUGAUUUGGUUAAAAAGUAAUCAGAACUAGGGUCUGGAGAAAUUUAUCCUUGGAAGGUUGGUUUAGUUGUUUUUUUGUUUGGUGUUUUUUUUUUUUGCCCACAACAGUACCCAAUUACUAUUUCUGAUACUAUAAUCUACUUUAAUACGCAAAUUCCCUCGAACAGCAGUCAGUCCUAAUAUAUCCCACUUCUUUUCCCAUGUCCUUCACCACAUAUUGCUUGCUGUGCUAAGUGCUAAAUGGCUCUUGGAAAGUGCUAAGAGGGUGUUGUGAAAGGGCUAAGCCAAGUUUCACAAACAACUGCCUGUGCAGAGAAAUAGUCCUGUUGAUAGGUGGUACCAGGAGCACCUGGUUGAAGACCCUUGCUUUGACAAGAUUGGAGAACUGAACUUCAUGGUUGCCUUAAGGUAAUUUAAAUGAGACUUUUUUAUCUUGUGGAAGUGAAGGUUUCUUUGUCCCUAACUGAAAUGAAACUACCGAAUGUUUUGUCAGAAAUAUUUGACAAGAUCAGUAUGUUCCUGCUAACUAGGUAAAGUUCAUCCUCUCUGCCUGCUCCACCAGCAACCACCUCAGCCAUCACCUUUGGCACCUGGUAAUUCUCAGAAGUGAAAAGCAGUUCCUGGAAGACGAUGGAAAGGAAGGCCCUGAUGUGAACUUGUCUUCUGAAGAGCCAGACAAAGUCAGGAAGAAUCCCAAAGUAUCCACACGGCAAAGAGUAUCCACACUGACUUGCCAAUGCUUGCUCAAACAUUUCCCAGCUAAUCACCAUUUUCUGGCCAUUGGCAGAAGUAAAAAAAAAUUGACUGAUGUGUUUUAUUUUCUCCACAAAUGGCAUCAUGUUGGGGUCACCAAUAAGCAUUGCCCAGUGUAUAAUCUACAAUGUACCUAUAGCAUACAGUCAAUAUGAUCUAUGUCUGCAAUCUACAAGUAGAGGAGGAGAACCACCAUGCAAGAAUCCCCUUAAUGGCAAGAAUGUUUUAAGAAAGGGGAGCAGAUGGGGUCUUUCAAGUGAAGCAGUUUCCCUGUCUGAGGUUACAGCUUGUCUUCAUAAGUGUUGGAAGAUGUGGGUCUUGCCCUGUGUGCACAUGAAUUGGGAUCACAAGACACCCCUUUGCACUGUUAGUCACUGUCACUUGGGGCAUCUCUGUGACACUGGGCUGUUGCACAUGGAUUUACUCCAGGGAGUGCUGACAUGGACUGGCUUCCAGCCCAAGAGAAUGUUGUGUGGAAUAGUUUUCAAACUUUGUAAGAAUCAAGAUGAAUGACAACUGUUACUUCCUCCUUACCUGCAAAGAAAGGUGUGUGGGGCCCAUGCUGACCUAAGCAGAGAAAGACACAUUAAAGUCCGGAUUAUCCCAGAAAGCAGCAAAUCAAGACAACACAGUCAAAGCAGAAGACCAGAAAUAGCCAAGGAAGCUUGGAGAAGGAGGUGUUAUGCCACUGGGAAGCACUGGUGACUCCAGAGGCUGUGAUGACAGGGGUGCCACAGCUCUUCAGAAGAUGCAAUGCUGCGUGGCACAGUGCUGUGUGAGCAAGACCACGCUAAUUCAGCAUCAGUCAUCUCAGGGGUAUCUUUAUCCAUGAUACACUUAAUCCCAGAUAAUCUAGAGGUGACUAACACUAUUUAUUGUUAGGCCAUGAAAACUCACUCUGAAUACCUGUACUAGCACUGACCUUUCUGUCCACUGAGUCACUGUUAACUCUUAUUCUUGCAUGCAAAGCCAGGCACAGCUCUGAUCCUUGGUCCCCCUUCCCAAUCCCUCCAUAACACUUGUUUCACAACUCCUCUUCCCUCCCUUGUCCCUGUGCCUAUGCUGGGCUACUUUCCAGCAGGGUAAAGUCAAGGCAAGCUGUAUAUACACAAGAUUCCAGUAGUUUAAUACUUCUCAAAGCUUACUACUUUUUUAUUGCUUUCAAACGGAUGCUUUUGCUACAUAGCUCUAUAGGACAAGAGGCUGCUUAACUGGUGGUCCGAAACUGGCGGCUCAAAUAUAUGUUUAAUUAAGUACUUAAGAUAACUGAAUUGCUUUUCAGAUGUUCCAUCCACUCAAACUCCAGGCUGUUUAUGUAUCUAGUGAUAUUGACGGGUUUGGGGGACAAAUUUACAGAAGUAUUUUUGAAAACCACAAUCAGUAUUUAUAUUUGAAGUACAUAACAUCCUGGAAUUAUCAUCAUCCUGUAGUAUUCCUUAGGUCCUCUGAUUCCUUGUCUUUCCUUCCUCUUAGUGAUCUUUUACAUUAUAUGUUCCUUGGACUUUGGAGCAGACAUUGCUUUAUAAUGUCUUCCUCAAGGUGCCAAAAUGACCAUUGACACCUAAAAGGACUAAAAAGUCAUUAUGUCCCAUCUACUGCUAUUUUAUUGUUCACAGAAAUUGACUUUAAAAUUUGUUAUGGUUGCUGUUUGUCACAACAUCUGAUUUCUGUGCAUGUGGGAGGCUGUUGAGAUGUCUAUAUGCCUGCAAUACAUCCUGGUAGCUGCUGUCUUGGUCUGUGGCUCAUGCCCUUGGAUUACCACUCUGCAUUUCUAUUUGCUUAUCAGUUUUCCAAUUCUACAUUUUUCCCCAAGUUCCUCAAAAACAGAAGUGGAAGAAUUCUUGUGAAAGCAUCUGGAAAAGGGCAUUUUGAUGGAGACUAGAUAUCUCUAAUCACUAAUGGUCCAACAAUCACCAGCUGAAAAAUUUAGUAGGGUGACCAACAUUACAACAAAUCAGCUUGAAUUAGGAGGCAUUAUAUUGUUUAACAAAAAGGACAAUGAGUCAAAACCAGUUUCUUCUAUCUGAUAAUGCAACUGCAAUUGCUCCUAGGAUACUUCAUACUGCUGGCUUAAAAAUGAGGAUCCUUUCCCUGGACCAUUUGCAUCUUGGCACACAAUCUCUAGCUCAUUGUGAUUCUAAACAGUGUACAGGAUCCGAAACCAUGCUUAGUCAGCCUGGCCAGCCACCUGAGAGCCAUGAGCAAUGUCCCCUUUAUGACUGCUCACUUCUACUUAAGGAGAAAGGAAAAAAGAAAAAAGGCAAGGAAACCCAUUCCUCUUGACUCCCAGAGAUAGUAUCGCUCCUCAGAUCUUCCUUCAACAUCACCAGCCUCUCUGAAAGCAGAUGCACAUUCAGAAGAAGAAAGAAAGCAUGGCUUGUGAAAGGUAAAAUGCUCUCUGGCCUCCCCUAAUUGCAGAUCUGAUACAGAAGGACUGGUUGAAAUAGUGUUUUGCUGGAGGUCAGAUUACAUAAGGAGCUGACAAUCUUCCUGACUUCACAUAUUGAAACCUUAACAAGACUGAAAGCCUAAGAGGGAAGCCAAGGAAGAAGAGCUCUGGGAGCUCUGCUGGCAGUUGGAUACAUGGAAAGCUCUACUGUGAUGGCUGCUGGAUUUUUGGUGGUCUUGCGCACAUGACCUUACCUGAUAUCCCAUGAACUGUGCAACUACCAGUAACUAUUUGAUGAGACCCAGAUAUAAUUUCUGUGUUUUCCUUUUCUUAGUAUUCUGUCAACCCUAUGGUUUAACAUCGUACCU